This 432-nucleotide unclassified non-coding RNA is filed under the name soil metagenome. RNAcentral describes it as "partial contains 5.8S ribosomal RNA, internal transcribed spacer 2, and large subunit ribosomal RNA". The stretch from base 1 to 120 matches the Rfam family "5.8S ribosomal RNA", at positions 35 to 154 of the family's 154-position model. The record is from RNAcentral.
GAUGAAGAACGCAGCGAAAUGCGAUACGUAAUGUGAAUUGCAGAAUUCAGUGAAUCAUCGAAUCUUUGAACGCAUAUUGCGCUCUCUGGUAUUCCGGAGAGCAUGCUUGUUUGAGUAUCAGUAAACACCUCAACUUCCAUAUCUUUUUUGAAAUGGGAGUUGGACUUGAGUGAUCCCAACGCUUUUCCUCACCGAAAAGUGGCGGGUUACUUGAAAUGCAGGUGCAGCUGGACUUUUCUCUGAGCUAUAAGCAUAUCUAUUUAGUCUGCCUAAAAAACAGAUUAUUACCUUUGCUGCAUCUAACAUAAAGGAGAUUAGUUCUUGUGCUGACUGAUGCAUGAUUCACAAAGACAGCUUCGGCCGACUUUGUAAACUCGAUCUCAAAUCAAGUAAGACUACCCGCUGAACUUAAGCAUAUCAAUAAGCGGAGGA